This 264-nucleotide unclassified non-coding RNA is filed under the name Thrips palmi. RNAcentral's name for it is "uncharacterized LOC117642298, transcript variant X3". Lineage: Eukaryota; Metazoa; Arthropoda; Insecta; Thysanoptera; Thripidae. The record is from RNAcentral.
AGGGUUUGCAUUCGAUCUUCGUCUUCCGGUUUGAGAUUCAUUGGUGUACUUUAUUCGGUGAUUUUAUAAUACCUUUCUUUUCGUCGCAUUACGAAGCGAUACAUCGAAGACUUCGUUCAAAGUAGCGUACCGUUCCACCGCAACGCAGGACCGCGUGGAUGGUGGAUGCGCCGCCCGUCCACGCGUGGAGGGACGCAGCCGCUACUGCCGUGCCGAGGAAGGCGAGGGAGUGCUCGCUCCUCGCAGGAUUCACUGGAGUACCCU